AUUGAACGCUGGCGGAAUGCUUUACACAUGCAAGUCGAACGAUGAACCUUAGCUUGCUAAGGGGAUUAGUGGCGAACGGGUGAGUAAUAUAUCGGAACGUGCCUUGUAAUGGGGGAUAACUAGUCGAAAGAUUAGCUAAUACCGCAUACGCCCUGAGGGGGAAAGUAGGGGAUCUUCGGACCUUACGUCAUAAGAGCGGCCGAUAUCUGAUUAGCUAGUUGGUGGGGUAAUGGCCUACCAAGGCGACGAUCAGUAGCUGGUCUGAGAGGACGACCAGCCACACUGGAACUGAGACACGGUCCAGACUCCUACGGGAGGCAGCAGUGGGGAAUUUUGGACAAUGGGCGCAAGCCUGAUCCAGCCAUUCCGCGUGAGUGAAGAAGGCCUUCGGGUUGUAAAGCUCUUUCGCAAGGGAAGAAAACUUACCAUCGAAUAAAUGGUGAGGCUGACGGUACCUUGAUAAGAAGCACCGGCUAACUACGUG
RNAcentral lists this ribosomal RNA (484 nucleotides) under uncultured bacterium. RNAcentral describes it as "partial 16S ribosomal RNA". It matches the Rfam family "Bacterial small subunit ribosomal RNA", at positions 30 to 507 of the family's 1533-position model. The record is from RNAcentral.